Molecule: ribosomal RNA, 497 nt
Filed under: uncultured bacterium
Lineage: Bacteria
Description: partial 16S ribosomal RNA
Rfam family: Bacterial small subunit ribosomal RNA
Source: RNAcentral
GAUGAACGCUGGCGGCGUGCCUAAUACAUGCAAGUCGAGCGAACAGACGAGGAGCUUGCUCCUCUGACGUUAGCGGCGGACGGGUGAGUAACACGUGGAUAACCUACCUAUAAGACUGGGAUAACUUCGGGAAACCGGAGCUAAUACCGGCUAACAUGUUGAACCGCAUGGUUCAACAGUGAAAGACGGUCUUGCUGUCACUUAUAGAUGGAUCCGCGUCGGCUUAGCUAGUUGGUAAGGUAACGGCUUAACAAGGCAACGAUGCGUAGCGGGCCUGAGAGGGUGAUCGGCCACACUGGAACUGAGACACGGUCCAGACUCCUACGGGAGGCAGCAGUAGGGAAUCUUCCGCAAUGGGCGAAAGCCUGACGGAGCAACGCCGCGUGAGUGAUGAAGGUCUUCGGAUCGUAAAACUCUGUUAUUAGGGAAGAACAAAUGUGUAAGUAAAUAUGCACGUCUUGACGGUACCUAAUCAGAAAGCCACGGCUAACUACGUG